AACGAACGCUGGCGGCGUGCCUAACACAUGCAAGUCGAGCGAUAACGAAUGGUGCUCUCGCCCAUUUGAGGGGCAGCGGACGGGUGAGUAACGCGUGGGGCAUCUUCCUUUGAGCGGGGGGCAAUAUUUGGGGACGACUGCUACUACCGCAUCACAACUUUAAACAUAAGUUGCAAGUUUGAAAGAUGCGAUUGCAUCACGCAAAGACGUACCCGCGUUGUGUUAGCUAGGUGGUGAGGUAAAGGCUCACCAAGGCGUUGGUACAUAGCCGACCUGAGAGGGUGAUCGGCCACAUUGGGACUGGGACACGGCCCAAACCCCUACGGGAGGGAGCCGGAGGGGAUUUUUGGCAAAGGGGGAAAGUCUGAAUGAGGAACGACGGGUGAGUGGAGGAGGUUUUUGGGUCGUAAAAGUCUGUUUGUAGGGAAGGACGUUGAUCAGAGUGAAACGCUCAUCUAGUGACGGUACCUACAGAAUAAGCGACGGCUAACUACGUG
RNAcentral lists this ribosomal RNA (497 nucleotides) under uncultured bacterium. RNAcentral's name for it is "partial 16S ribosomal RNA". It matches the Rfam family "Bacterial small subunit ribosomal RNA", at positions 29 to 507 of the family's 1533-position model. The record is from RNAcentral.